UGGCGCAAUUGGAUAGCGCGUCCGACUACGGAUCGGGAGGUUGCAGGUUCGAGUCCUGC
This 59-nucleotide transfer RNA is filed under the name Cafeteria roenbergensis. It matches the Rfam family "tRNA", at positions 8 to 63 of the family's 71-position model. From Rfam's summary of the family: Transfer RNA (tRNA) molecules are approximately 80 nucleotides in length. Their secondary structure includes four short double-helical elements and three loops (D, anti-codon, and T loops). The record is from RNAcentral. Lineage: Eukaryota; Bigyra; Bicosoecida; Cafeteriaceae.